RNAcentral lists this ribosomal RNA (253 nucleotides) under uncultured bacterium. RNAcentral's name for it is "partial 16S ribosomal RNA". It matches the Rfam family "Bacterial small subunit ribosomal RNA", at positions 524 to 776 of the family's 1533-position model. The record is from RNAcentral.
UACGUAGGGGGCAAGCGUUGUCCGGAAUCAUUGGGCGUAAAGCGCGUGUAGGCGGCCAGAAAAGUCCGCUGUGAAAACUCGAGGCUCAACUUCGAGCUGUCGGUGGAAACUUUCUGGCUAGAGUCCGGAAGAGGAGAAUGGAAUUCCUGGUGUAGCGGUGAAAUGCGCAGAUAUCAGGAAGAACACCCGUGGCGAAGGCGGUUCUCUGGGACGGUACUGACGCUGAGGAGCGAAAGCCAGGGGAGCAAACGGG